Molecule: long non-coding RNA, 617 nt
Filed under: Triticum aestivum (bread wheat)
Lineage: Eukaryota; Viridiplantae; Streptophyta; Magnoliopsida; Poales; Poaceae
Description: long non-coding RNA (TAES_LNC024667)
Source: RNAcentral
ACUUGAUAUAUAUAUAUAAGUCAGAACAUUCAAAUAGGAUAAGUCAGGAUACGAAUAGGUUUUUCUUGGUUGUGCAAUUUAAAGAUCCUACGACGAGGCAAACCGGAAUAUAUACACAGUUGAUUGGCACGCCUUAUUUACAGGAGGCAUUCAGAGCGAUUGCCGUGGCAGCCAGCGCCAUCUAGAGCAAUCCGAAGGUGUUCUCACCGCUGUAGGUCAUGUAGAGGAAGCCAUCCUCGUCCUUGUUCUCCUCGUAAAUGGCAGACAUCAGGGCAGCUGCAAACAAAGGACGAAUAGGAACUUUGGGUUAGAACAUCGGACCAUGCGGUAAAAUACACAAGGUAGACAUAUUUGCUGCUCCCUACCUGUCGGUGGAAGAGUGUUCUUCACAAAGAUGAAGAUCGCCUUCUCAGCACUGAGCUUGAUCCGCUUCCGGACAACGUACACGAACUGUCCAACUGUAAGGUCGGCAGGGACAAGGUACCUGUAUGGUUGGGUGACGGCUAUUAGAAUAUAGAACAGCUGACGGUCAAUAAUGGCCAAUCUUGUGCUUUGCUGUGACAUGAGACAAAGUUUUGAUGCAUCAAAAGAUCCCCUGCUUUUGAACCAUAGAGAUG